GACGAACGCUGGCGGCGUGCUUAACACAUGCAAGUCGAACGGAAAGGCCCCUUUGGGGUACUCGAGUGGCGAACGGGGGAGGAAAACGUGAAUAACCCUCCCUUUACUUCGGGGUAACUUCAGGGAAAUGGGGCCAAUAACGGGUAGGAAUCCUUUGUGCAUGGGGGGGGGUGGAAAGCUUCGGCGGUUUUGGAUGGACUCGCGGCUUAUCAGCUUGUUGGUGGGGUAGUGGCUUACCAAGGCUUUGACGGGUAGCCGGCCUGAGAGAGCGACCGGCCACAUUGGGACUGAGAUACGGCCCAGACUCCUACGGGAGGCAGCAGUGGGGAAUAUUGCACAAUGGGCGGAAGCCUGAUGCAGCAACGCCGCGUGCGGGAGGACGGCCUUCGGGUUGGAAACCGCUUUCAGCAGGGGCGAAGCUUGUGGUGACGGUACCUGCAGAAGAAGCACCGGCUAACUACGUG
This 464-nucleotide ribosomal RNA is filed under the name uncultured bacterium. RNAcentral describes it as "partial 16S ribosomal RNA". It matches the Rfam family "Bacterial small subunit ribosomal RNA", at positions 28 to 507 of the family's 1533-position model. The record is from RNAcentral.